GAGCUCAACGAGAACAGAAAUCUCGUGUGG
Molecule: small nuclear RNA, 30 nt
Filed under: Arabidopsis thaliana (thale cress)
Lineage: Eukaryota; Viridiplantae; Streptophyta; Magnoliopsida; Brassicales; Brassicaceae
Description: snRNA_00847
Source: RNAcentral